RNAcentral lists this ribosomal RNA (492 nucleotides) under uncultured bacterium. Its description in RNAcentral is "partial 16S ribosomal RNA". It matches the Rfam family "Bacterial small subunit ribosomal RNA", at positions 29 to 507 of the family's 1533-position model. The record is from RNAcentral.
AGUGAACGCUGGCGGUAGGCCUAACACAUGCAAGUCGAACGGCAGCACAGUAAGAGCUUGCUCUUACGGGUGGCGAGUGGCGGACGGGUGAGGAAUACAUCGGAAUCUACUUUUUCGUGGGGGAUAACGUAGGGAAACUCACGCUAAUACCACAUACGACCUACGGGAGAAAGCAGGGGAUCUUCGGACCUUGCGCGAUUGAAUGAGGCGAUGUCGGAUUAGCUAGUUGGCGGGGUAAAGGCCCACCAAGGCGGCGAUCCGUAGCUGGUCUGAGAGGAUGAUCAGCCACACUGGAACUGAGACACGGUCCAGACUCCUACGGGAGGCAGCAGUGGGGAAUAUUGGACAAUGGGCGCAAGCCUGAUCCAGCCAUACCGCGUGGGUGAAGAAGGCCUUCGGGUUGUAAAGCCCUUUUGUUGGGAAAGAAAAGCAGCAGGUUAAUACCCCGCUGUUCUGACGGUACCCAAAGAAUAAGCACCGGCUAACUUCGUG